CCUACGGGUGGCAGCAGUAGGGAAUCUUUCACAAUGGGCGAAAGCCUGAUGGAGCAACGCCGCGUGCGGGAUGAAGGCCUUCGGGUUGUAAACUGCUUUUAUAAGCGAGAAAUAUGAUGGUAACUUAUGAAUAAGGAUCGGCUAACUACGUGCCAGCAGCCGCGGUCAUACGUAGGAUCCGAGCAUUAUCCGGAGUGACUGGGUGUAAAGAGUUGCGGGGGUGGCAUAAUAAGUAGCUAGGAAAAUCGGGUGGCCCAACCAUUCAGACUAUUAGCUAAACUGUGCAGCUAGAGACCGUUAGGGGUAACUGGAAUUUCUAGUGUAGGAGUGAAAUCCGUAGAUAUUAGAAGGAACACCAAUAGCGUAGGCAGGUUACUGGGACGGUUCUGACACUAAGGCACGAAAGCGUAGGGAGCAAACGGGAUUAGAUACCCUAGUAGUC
Molecule: ribosomal RNA, 442 nt
Filed under: uncultured bacterium
Lineage: Bacteria
Description: partial 16S ribosomal RNA
Rfam family: Bacterial small subunit ribosomal RNA
Source: RNAcentral